AUCAUGUUCCAGGAAGUGACAUCAUUUUGGAGGGAGAGCAACAAUACAAACACCAAUUUUAUUGCAAGGCACAUCCAACCAUAACAAUAGCUUCUGAAUGCCAUGAGCUCUGCGCCAGCGGUCUGCAUACUUCGGAAUACCAACAGCAACAGUGACCUGAUGAUGACGGGUAACAAAGGGCAAGAGGAAGCAGAGUAGUACUACGUUGUUGGGACCAAACAGCCCUUAAAGGAGGUGACAAAACAAACGUCCUCAGAGAAAACUUCAAGAGCCAGUUACAUGAGCACUUCAGGGCCUGCAGCUGAAGUUUACCCGGACACUGCUUCUUUCAGGGGGCUCACAUAAACAUUACACUCUCUGUCUGGGUAAUUGAUCCCAAAUCUUGUUUGACAACGUUUUUUCACUGCCGACACUUCACAUGCUUCCUGAACAUAGCUGAGCUUUUUUGGCCGCGUUGCAAAUACCACAACAACUCAGCACUCAUUAAAUCUUGUGCUGAGUGUUCUCUGCCUUACCGCUGCCAGUGUGUGUGGUUUGGUUCAUUU
Sinocyclocheilus grahami is the source of this 545-nucleotide long non-coding RNA. RefSeq lists it as uncharacterized. The transcript has 3 exons. The record is from RefSeq and is a predicted model, not a curated record. Lineage: Eukaryota; Metazoa; Chordata; Actinopteri; Cypriniformes; Cyprinidae.